RNAcentral lists this ribosomal RNA (164 nucleotides) under uncultured bacterium. RNAcentral describes it as "partial 16S ribosomal RNA". It matches the Rfam family "Bacterial small subunit ribosomal RNA", at positions 1335 to 1500 of the family's 1533-position model. The record is from RNAcentral.
CUAGUAAUGGCAGGUCAGCAUACUGCCGUGAAUACGUUCCCGGGCCUUGUACACACCGCCCGUCACACCAUGAGAGUUGGAGAUACCCGAAGCCUGUGAGCUAACAAACGAGGCAGCAGUCGAAGGUAGAAUCAAUGAUUGGGGUGAAGUCGUAACAAGGUAAC